AUGGAGACGACGGCACUGAGUGUUGGAAAGUCCGUGCUGAGUGGAGCGCUUAGCUAUGCCACAUCUGCCCUGGCGGAGGAGGUGGCCCUGCAGCUCGGAGUCCGGCGUGACCAGGUCUUCAUCACCAAUGAGCUCGAGAUGAUGCAGGCUUUCCUUGAGUCCGCUCAUGACGAGGGAGAUGGCAACAGGGUGGUCAAGGUGUGGGUGAAGCAAGUCCGCGACGUGGCCUACGACGUCGAGGACACCCUCCAAGAGUUCGCCGUGCGCCUCGAGAAGCAGUCUUGGUGGCGUAUCCGUCGCAACCUACUCGGCCGGUGCCAUGUGGCAAAGCAGAUGAAGGAGCUCAGAGCCAAUGUUGAGGAUGUCAGCCAGAGAAACAUGCGCUACAAUCUCAUCAAGGGCUCUGGAUCCAAGGCCGCCAUGGCUGCAGAGCAGUCUAGCAUUACUUCUGCAGCACUAUUUGGUAUUAAUGAAGCAAGGCACAUGGCAAGGCAAGAGAAAUCCAAACUGGAUAUUUUUCAGCUGGUCAACCAGAAGGAGAAUGGCCUGAGGGUGAUUGCGGUGUGGGGAACAAUUGCUGAUCUAGGGCAGAUAUCCAUUGUCCGAGGAGUCUAUGAGAAUCCAGAUACUAAAGGCAAGUUCCCGUGCCGAGCCUGGGUGAGGCUGAUGCAUCCUUUUAAUCCCAAAGACUUCAUUCAGAGUAUGGUGGAGCAAUUUCACAUGGGUGUAGGGGCUAAAGCUCUACUGGGAGAAGAGAAGACGGCACAAGAGCUUGCUGAGAAGUUUGAUGAGUGCGUCAGUGGGAGGAGGUAUCUGAUCGUGAUUAAUGACUUAAACACCAUUGAGGUGUGGGAUCGGGUUAUAAGUUGCUUCCCAAAUAACAACUUGGGGAGCAGGAUCAUAGUGUCCACUGCUCAAGUAGAAGUUGCAAGCUUAUGUGCAGGGCAAGAAAGCAUAGUAUCAUAUCUCAAGCAAUCGUUUGGUGAUGAAAAUAUUUAUGCUUUCCAUGAGAAGGUCUCUCAAGAUGGAACAGAUUUAACUAAAACGGAGUCAAGCUCAAACCGUGCCAUUACCAGUUCAGAUACCAACCAGAUGGUGCCCACUGGUGAAAUAUCAGAAGACCAGUCCAAGGGUGCAGAUGGGAAAAAUACAUUAAAAAAGAGCUUCACCCGCAUUCGGACGAUGGCGACUGCUUUGGAGGAAUCUCACCUUGUUGGGCGACAGAAAGAAAAAGUUGAGAUUAUGAAACUAAUUUCAGAUCAACCUACCCAAGAAUUCCAGGUGAUCACUGUGUGGGGAAUGGGCGGUUUGGGAAAAACCACUCUAGUGAAAGAUAUAUAUCAAAACCAAGAACUUAGUGCCAUGUUUGAGAAGCGUGCUUGCGUGACUGUUAUGCGUCCUUUCAAUCUUGAAGGUCUUCUUAGGAGCUUAAUUAUGCAACUAGAUAGAGAAUCUUCUGAAAAGAAGGACACGGUGGGUUUGCUGAGCAACAAGACCACAUUGUUAUUGAUGCCACUUGCAGAAUUGAUGAAGGAGCUGGCAAGGUUUUGUGAAAGAAAGAGGUGCUUAAUUAUUGUUGAUGAUGUAUCAUCUAAUGCAGAGUGGAACAUGAUGAUACCAAUUUUCCAUGGAAUGGAAUAUACAAGCCGGAUCAUUGUCACCACAAGGGAAGAAAGUAUUGCUAAACUUUGUUCAGGGAGACAAGAAAACAUAUAUAUGCUCAAAGAUCUAGAACACAGUGAUGCAUGUGACCUAUUCACUAAAAAGGUAUUCAAGAAGACUAUAGAUUUGAAUAUGCAAUAUCCUGAACUAGUUGAACAGGCAGAACUUAUAGUGAGGAAGUGCAGCCGACUCCCACUUGCAAUAGUCACCAUAGGUGGCUUCUUGUCAAACCAACCAAAAACCUGUUUGGAAUGGAGGAAAUUGAAUGACCAUCUCAGCGCGGAGUUGGAGUUGAAUCCAGAGCUUGGGACCAUAAGAACUGUCCUUAUGAGAAGUUAUGAUGGUUUACCUUAUCACCUCAAGUCUUGUUUCUUAUAUAUGCCCAUCUUUCCUGAAGAUUACAAGGUUGGACGUGGACGAUUGGCACGUCGAUGGAGUGCAGAGGGUUACUCAAGGGAGGUGCACAGCAGGCCUGCGGAAGAAAUAGCGGAUAACUACUUCAUGGAACUUAUUAGCAGGAGUAUGAUCCUACCAUCUCAACAAUCAAUUCAUAAUAUAAAAGGAAUUGAUUCCUGCCAAGUCCAUGAUCUUAUCCGUGAAAUUGGUGUCUCAAAGUCAAUGGAAGAAAAUCUUGUUUUUACACUGGAGGAAGGAUGUAUCUCAAACAGCCAGGUCAUGGUACGCCACCUGUCUAUAAGCAGCAACUGGAAGGGAAAUAAGAGUGAGUUUGAGAGCAUAGUGGACAUGUCCCGUUUACGGUCAAUUACAUGCUUCGGAGAGUGGAAGUCAUUUUUCAUUUCUCAUAGGAUGAGGUUUGUACGAGUGUUGGACCUGGAAGACACAACAUGUCUACUUGAUCAUCAGCUUAAGAAUAUUGGAAAGCUUCUUCACCUAAGAUAUCUUUCUUUAAGAGGAUGUGGGGAUAUUUCCCACCUUUCAGAUUCGUUGGGUGACCUGAGACAGCUUGAGACACUAGACAUUAGAGGUACCAACAUAAUGGUCCUGCCAAAGACCAUCAUCAAGCUUCGGAAGCUAAAUUAUCUUCGUGCUGGGAUAAUACCGGAAAAUGAGAGUGUCUCGUGGGAAGAAUAUGCUGAUGACUUUCCUCAGGUAAUGAAGAACCGGCCAUGCACUUCAUUUGUUUGGAUGAUGAUGUGUUGUGUUGGGUGUUGUGCACUUGAGACUAUUUAUGGGAAUGGUGUGAGCCACCGUGAUCUAUGUGAACAUUUUUGCUACCUCAUACUCCCUUUAAUUGCGAUGGGCCUAGACCAGCAUGGUGUUCUAGUGCCAAGAGGGAUGAGGAAACUGAAAGCCCUGCGCACACUAGGUGUUGUAAACAUUGGGCGACGUGGGAAAAUUAUUCUGCAAGACAUAAAAGAGCUGACCCAUCUAUGCAAGUUGGGAGUGACUGGUGUCAAUAAGGAAAAUGGCCAAGAGUUGUGCUCGGCAAUUGUUGGCAUGAGUCACCUGGCAUCAUUAUCAAUCCGGUCAGAGGGGGAGCCAGGUUUAUGUGGCUGCUUGGAGGGAAAGUUCUCGUUUCCAGUGACACUGCAGAGCCUCAAGCUCUACGGCAACCUGGUCAGACUGCCAGAAUGGGUCCAGGGGCUCAAGAAUCUGGUGAAGCUGAAGCUGCGGAGCACCAUGUUAUCAGAGGACAAUGAGGCAAUGCAAGUCCUUGGUAAUCUUCCAAACCUGGGCUCCUUGCAUCUGUUGAGGGGAUCAAUCUGUGAGGAUAAAGUGUUCUGUUUCCGUCAGGGGGCAUUCCAAAGCCUGGUGUUUCUGGAACUUAGUGGCUAUAUAUCUGUGAAGUUUGAACAAGAAGCAAUCCCUACGCUUGAGAUGCUCAAGUUGUUUUGCAUGGAAGUCAACGGCAAUUCCCUUUCGGGGCUACCAACUAUCGCGAGCCUCAAGGAAGUUGUGCUGGAAGGUUACUACAAUUACUCCGAACUGGCAUACCUGAGGGCCGAGCUUGCCGAGAAUCCAAACCGACCCGUCCUGAAGAGGGUCUGA
RNAcentral lists this ribosomal RNA (3672 nucleotides) under Triticum aestivum (bread wheat). Its description in RNAcentral is "partial small subunit ribosomal RNA". Lineage: Eukaryota; Viridiplantae; Streptophyta; Magnoliopsida; Poales; Poaceae. The record is from RNAcentral.